UUACACGCGGUAUGCUAAGGUGUUGCUGGUUUUUCAUUUUGAGGUAACUGGUCUAACCAUUUUGAUCAGAUACUUGCAAGGGUUAGGGAGAGAUAAUCGAACGCUCAGAAGCAUAGGAUGUUUGCUUGGGAGCUUAAUUUAUUGGUUCUUGCCCCAUCUUACAUUGGGUCCUUCCUAAACCUAUGAAUUUUCUCAGAAAGAAAUGCUUAAGACCUCAGUUUUAUUGUAGAAGUGGACAUGGAAGAAAUAGUAUUUCUUUUACUUGGAAUGGUAAUAUCCAUGAAAAUUGAUAUUGUACAGUUGACAUGCAAGUGAUUGAUUGUUCGUUACCCUUGAUGCUUGGUCCUUGACAUCUUGGUACUGGACUUAUUUCCUUCUUACUAGUAUCCUUACUUAAAGACAUUGGCAUCGUGAUUGGCAUCAUCGGAGAUAAUUGGUGCUUCCUUACUUGCAAUUAAAUUGCAUUAUACUGCAUUUUUUUUUCUUGAUCUUUCCAACAUAACCUCUUUGCAUUUUCUAUUAUUUAUCCUCUCUUUUAUGGGUUUUGUAUUUGCUAUCUUUUCUAAAAUUGUAAUUACUUGCCAGGUUUAAUGCUUGUAUUUUGCUAAAGACUAUCGACCUUUGACAUUUUAUUUUAUUUUUUUAAAAAUUUUAUUGUUAUGAAGGUGUAAAAACUUGUGACUCUAAAUAGCCCAUGGUUCUAGUUAUUUUUUUGCUGCUGCUUUGGCAUCCAAUGCUACAUUAUUGGUUUUUCCCAUUUGCUCCCUUGCUGCUUGUUAUUUUCCCUGGAAAUUGUAUAUACUACUUUGCUUUUUUUACAAAUAUAGCUUGUCUAUGAGCUAAUUUGCUGCCUCUGGCUUUGGAGGUUGAGUUGUCAGAACCAGUUUUGCGUUUUCUGAUCAAAAUACACUACAUGAUUGCCUUGUUGGAUUUGUGAUUUAAGUGGUGUUUGAAAUUUCUGACUAG
This 966-nucleotide long non-coding RNA is filed under the name Gossypium barbadense (sea-island cotton). Its description in RNAcentral is "long non-coding RNA (GBAR_LNC020490)". Lineage: Eukaryota; Viridiplantae; Streptophyta; Magnoliopsida; Malvales; Malvaceae. The record is from RNAcentral.